RNAcentral lists this transfer RNA (72 nucleotides) under Nyctiophylax orbicularis. RNAcentral's name for it is "tRNA-Pro". Lineage: Eukaryota; Metazoa; Arthropoda; Insecta; Trichoptera; Polycentropodidae. The record is from RNAcentral.
CAAGAAGUAGUUUAAAAUGAAUAAAAUAAUAAUUUUGGAGAUUAUUGAUAAUUAAAAAUUAAUUUUUUUUGA